ACCAGAAUAAGAUCAUUUAAGCCCAAGUGAUUUGAUUACGGUUCAAUCUUAUUGAUCCACAAACAAGUCAACGAGAAGAAAGAAGAUUGAUUGAACUGAAAAUGAUACGAGAUACGAUCAACAGAAAGGUUUCGAGUUUUAAAACAGAGAGAUUUAACAUUAUUGCAUCAAUAUAAAUAAAACAUAUCGUGAAGAUUAAUCUUAAAUCGCUCGGAAUCAAAUCAAAUUAGAAACGCAUAUUACAUGAUCUCCAAUUAUUAUAUUAUUGGGUUACCAAGAAUAAAAAUCUAGUUAACUUUAAUGAGAUGAAAUGCGAGCUAAUUUGCUUAUCAACCAGAAAUGGGCAAUAGAACAGGCUACUCUGUUUGUACUGGCUUUUCUUUGACUUCGAUUGAUGUAGAAGAAGUUUUUAUCUAGAUCGCUUAUAAUAACAAUAGAAAUAAAGGAUCCAUUAGCAAGUGCUUUCCAGGCAAUCAGCCUAUUGAUCUCUCCAAACUGAUUGAAUGGUUUCAAUCAACAACAAUUAACCACGAUUAAUGGAUAUCUAACGAUGUUUAUAUAUUGAAUAACGAAAAUAAGUAAUUUAAUUCGUUUGUUGACUUGAAGAAAGGAUUAGUUAUUUUUUCAUCAACAACAUCUGGAAGUCAUGAGACAAGCACGAGUUUCGUCUACGAGGCAAAGUCUAAUAACUUCUCAGCAGCUCAACUAAAUCAAUUAAUUCUAUUCUCGGAAAAGCUUCAUCAUCAAGUAUCAUAUUUAUGUUAAUUUACAUCAUUUUAACCAUUAGAUAUCAUUCUCAAUCAACUCCCAAUGAAUGAGCAUAAAGCAAGCUUCCUAUUUAAAGUCAAAUCUAAACCAUUCAUUGUAUCAUACAUCGACAACUUCACUUGAGAAACAGUUAAAAGUUUAUUUCUUUAUUUUGUUGCAUUCAAUCAUUGUUGAACCUACUAACUGAAUAAAAUGGAUCGUGGAAACCGAACCAACCAAUGUAAUCCCUCUCAUACCCCAAGUGGCCCAGGCCACAAUGCAGGUUACGCUGGGACUGGAACCAAGAGUGAUCUUGGAAACCAUGCAAACCAGGGUAAUCCAAACAAUCCAGCUUUUCACAGCAGCCGAGGUGGUAACAAGAAGUGAACACGAUCAUCAGCUUAUCCCAAGAUUCAUAAAGUGGUUAAUUCGUUUCUUAUUCAUUUUCUUUAAAGCUUGACAUUUUUGAAUCUUAUUGAAUAAAAUAACUUUGAGUUUUUUAAAUUGAAA
Molecule: long non-coding RNA, 1257 nt
Organism: Tetranychus urticae (two-spotted spider mite)
Lineage: Eukaryota; Metazoa; Arthropoda; Arachnida; Trombidiformes; Tetranychidae
Source: RefSeq, a predicted model, not a curated record